Molecule: ribosomal RNA, 253 nt
Filed under: uncultured bacterium
Lineage: Bacteria
Description: partial 16S ribosomal RNA
Rfam family: Bacterial small subunit ribosomal RNA
Source: RNAcentral
GACAGAGGGGGCAAGCGUUGCUCGGAAUUACUGGGCGUAAAGGGCGCGUAGGCGGAAUGGCAAGUCGGUCGUGAAAUCCUUCGGCUCAACCGAAGAACGUCGAUCGAAACUGCCGUUCUUGAGGAUUGCAGAGGAGACUGGAAUUCCCGGUGUAGCGGUGAAAUGUGUAGAGAUCGGGAGGAACGCCGGUGGCGAAAGCGAUUCUCUGGUCCUCUCCUGACACUGAUGCGCGAGAGCUAGGGGAGCAAACAGG